GGGCAUUUCAAUGCACGUCUGCUCUGCGUGCGUGCCUGUGUGUUCAAAGCCCAGCAAACCCACAACCCUGAUGUGCCUCUCAGCUGAUGCCAAGGGCUCCCUGCAGCCCGCGCUCCUCCCUGCGCCCGCGGACGCCCAGCGCAGGGCUCUGCCAGCCGGCAGCCCCGGCAGGGACGGAGCCAGCAUCCCAAAACGGUCGCCUCUGCUCCCGCGGCUCGCCGGCGCGGGUCACGGAGGCGCGGUGGUCGUUAGCCAGACCUCGGGGAGCGGAGCCGGUGCUCGCCCAGCCCGGCCGGGGAUUCAGCGCUCCCCUAAGCCUGUUAGGGACACACUCUCAUGUCCUGAAAUGUGCAAGCAGAUAAUUGUUGGCGCUCCAGCUUUGUGUGAGGAGGCCAGGGUGUAAAUGGCUUUUAAUGACUGCAGCUGCUGGCUGCAAACUGUCAAUGGGAUCGGCUAAUGCCGAGCCCGGACCAGCCGGGCGCCGAGCCGCAGCCGGGCGGGCGCAGCGGCGGCAGCGCGCAGCGGCGCGGAGCGGGCGCGGAGGGGCGCGCGGGGCAGCGCGGAGCCGCGCGCGCAGCGGGAUGCGGGGCCGGGCGCGGCCGGCGGCAGCGGGAGCGCGGCGGCGGCCGGGGCCGGACGGAGGCUGCCCUCUCGGCUGGGAAAAUCCUUUCCGGAUCCUUCACGAUUUCCCGAGAUACAUGGACGCGUAUUUGAUGGGUGUAUGAGAUGUGGCCCAUGCGGCUCCUGUAAUGCAGCCCUGUCGAUGCCAUGUGUGCUGUACCGGUCGUGCUAAGGAACAAGUGGGCAAGAGAAAAAGAGUGCGGCUUGCCUCCGUGGCGAGAUGCCGGCUUGGGAAGCAGCAAACUUUCCCGAGGAGGCGAUGGAGGCUCAGCCGCCGGGCUGGGCUGCUUCCCCGCAUCCCUCUGGAUCUGCUGGCAGCUCCCGUCAGCCGAAAGUUACCUGCCCUGUAGCAGCAGUAGCAGCAGCCGUGCAGUCGCUUGCUCCUGAAUUAAACACAACUCCUAAUGAUGUAGCAUUAUCAACAAGGGACACUUGAUUGACUGAUCUAGGUGCAUCAGCCGGCGGGCAGGGAGCCCGCACGCCGCUCCGGGGACAGGGUUUGCCUCCUGAACGACACUCCCGCUUCCGAAGAACAGUAGCUCCGACCUCCAAACUAACUGAGACUGCUGCUCCAAAGUAGCUGCGAACAGCACUCCCGUGUCUUAACAGGGUCACAUAGGAGACUGGAGCCUUUUAAUUUCCAGGCACAAGGAAUUACUCCCUCGGAGACCCGGUUUGUUUGGGGAUUUUGGGUGUGUGUGUUUUGGUGUGUUCCCCCCCCCUCCCCCCCGACAGAAAGGGAAGCUGGGUACGUCUCCCUUAAGCACACAGAAGGAUAAAGGUGUUGAAAAAAGCCAAGCCGGGGCACAUCUGGCUGUGGGAGCCGGCCCCGUGCUGCGGGCCGCUGUUGUCCCCGGCGGGGGCUGCGGGGGCUGCCGCCGGCUCGGCCCGGCCCGCGCCCUCGCCCUGUGCGGCAUCCAGCGGGCGCGUCGCCUGGGGUGACCUUCAGGGAGCACGUUUCAACUGCCAAACAUCGAGAAAAGUGCUUCUCUCGCUCGCAGGCGCCAUAUUAAUGCCGGGAGCUGGGGCUGGGGCGGGGGGAGGGCGGUUUCGUAGUUGCUUUAGGUUUACGCCGUUGUUAAUUCAGACUGGACGAGCUCUCCACGGCUCUGUAAAAAGAAAAAGUACUUCGGCAUUCUCCCCCCGCCCCCCCCGUUUCCACUCGCCCCGAGGGGUUGAGCUUUGUAAUACUGAUCCUUGCUCUGGGACGCUAUGGAGCAUCCUCCCUCUCCCCGCCCGGUGGGGAAGGGGGUGGUGGGGGCGACCCUCGGGAGCGCGGGGUGCCAUGGGGUCCCGGCCCAGGGCCCGGACACUCACCUUGCGGGGGGCCCCAGGCAGUGCCUGAGACCCCCCGGGUCUCCCCCAUCCUACUGCGCACCGGGGCGGGGUGGGAAGGCUCCCCAAGCUCCCCUUCCUCCGCGUACCCCUCAUUUGCGCUGGGAAGGCUGUGAGCAGCAAAAUAAGAGAACACCCCCCAUCUCCCAUCUCCCCCCAUGGAAAGUGAUUCCUUAAGCUGUGGGUCUGCACUAUGCUGAGCUCUCCGCGCCCCCAACUCGCGCUGGGACUUGCUGCUUAGUCAACCGCGCUGCUUCAUCUUUUCCCAUUAUUCGUUUUUUUCUGUUAGUUUGUGGUUUGUUUGUUUGUUUUUUUAAUGCGAAUAAAAUCCCAGCUUUUGCAGAUGGGCAGAAGUGGACGAAGCAACACCGCGAUCGCGGCGGGGACAAGGAGAAGUCGGACAGAGCCGCUCCUCCCCGGGGCCGCAGGGCCGGGGGCGUCCUAAAGGUUCAAGUCCCCCUCAGGAUUUCGGAACAAAGGCAGCCCAGCCCAGCUCCGCCACGCACAAAGCUCCAUUGUAAUCUUGGGCUCACACACCACCCCCCACCACCCCAUCCCCCC
Falco peregrinus (peregrine falcon) is the source of this 2517-nucleotide long non-coding RNA. RefSeq lists it as uncharacterized. The transcript has 4 exons. NCBI's taxonomy places the organism in Eukaryota, Metazoa, Chordata, Aves, Falconiformes, Falconidae. The record is from RefSeq and is a predicted model, not a curated record.